RNAcentral lists this ribosomal RNA (482 nucleotides) under uncultured bacterium. RNAcentral describes it as "partial 16S ribosomal RNA". It matches the Rfam family "Bacterial small subunit ribosomal RNA", at positions 30 to 507 of the family's 1533-position model. The record is from RNAcentral.
AUUGAACGCUGGCGGCAUGCCUUACACAUGCAAGUCGAACGGUAACAGGUCUUCGGAUGCUGACGAGUGGCGAACGGGUGAGUAAUACAUCGGAACGUGCCCAGACGUGGGGGAUAACGAGGCGAAAGCUUUGCUAAUACCGCAUACGAUCUAAGGAUGAAAGCAGGGGACCGCAAGGCCUUGUGCGUUUGGAGCGGCCGAUGGCAGAUUAGGUAGUUGGUGGGAUAAAAGCUUACCAAGCCGACGAUCUGUAGCUGGUCUGAGAGGACGACCAGCCACACUGGGACUGAGACACGGCCCAGACUCCUACGGGAGGCAGCAGUGGGGAAUUUUGGACAAAGGGCGAAAGCCUGAUCCAGCAAUGCCGCGUGCAGGAUGAAGGCCUUCGGGUUGUAAACUGCUUUUGUACGGAACGAAAAGGCUCUGGCUAAUACCUGGGGCACAUGACGGUACCGUAAGAAUAAGCACCGGCUAACUACGUG